RNAcentral lists this long non-coding RNA (257 nucleotides) under Elaeis guineensis (African oil palm). RNAcentral describes it as "long non-coding RNA (EGUI_LNC027946)". The record is from RNAcentral. Lineage: Eukaryota; Viridiplantae; Streptophyta; Magnoliopsida; Arecales; Arecaceae.
ACCGGAUUUGAUGAUUUUUGAUGUACAAGCAGUUUUGAGGUAGUAUAUCAUAUUCAAAGGCUUGGAUCAUCAAUGUAGGACCUCCAUUGUCCGAUUUUGAUCUGACUGGAUUUGAGCCCAAAUUCGAUCGACCUAUUAGCACCUCUAUGAAAUUUUGAAAAUCCUAUUAUUGUAUGAUUGGAAUUUUAUGGAAUCGAAAAAAACUCAGCAACGAUCCCUUUCUUAAAAUUUCUAUAUUGAUUUUAUAGAACCACCCC